Molecule: long non-coding RNA, 372 nt
Filed under: Mustela putorius furo (domestic ferret)
Lineage: Eukaryota; Metazoa; Chordata; Mammalia; Carnivora; Mustelidae
Description: lncRNA (ENSMPUG00000030285.1)
Source: RNAcentral
CGACAGCAUACCAUGUAUCAACUGCUAAUCUUCUCGUGACAUUCUGUUCUAUAACAUUUCAGUGAUGGUGUACAAAAGAAGAAGGAUCACUAAACCUACAAGGAUCUUUCACGGGAAGUCUAUUUGUGGGUGAACCCCAGCUUCUUCAGCUGUAAGCAAAAGAAUACAGUCCCAGAUUCUCACCACAAGCCACAUCUAAAAGUGAAUCACACUCAAGCAGAUGUUGUUUCCCACAGGAACAAUGUACUGUUUGAGGUGGUCAUUCCUAACGAAAGAGUCAGCCUCAAGUGAAUCGUAAACAUGACCAACAAUAGGUUUUAAAAUGAAAAUACAAUAAUUAUCAUAUACUGGAAAAGAUCGCUAAGAUCCAAG